CAGCAGCCGCGGUAAUACGUAGGUCCCGAGCGUUGUCCGGAUUUAUUGGGCGUAAAGCGAGCGCAGGCGGUUAGAUAAGUCUGAAGUUAAAGGCUGUGGCUUAACCAUAGUACGCUUUGGAAACUGUUUAACUUGAGUGCAAGAGGGGAGAGUGGAAUUCCAUGUGUAGCGGUGAAAUGCGUAGAUAUAUGGAGGAACACCGAUGGCGAAAGCGGCUCUCUGGCUUGUAACUGACGCUGAGGCUCGAAAGCGUGGGGAGCAAACAGGAUUAGAUACCCCUGUAGUCCCUGUCUCUUAUACA
This 301-nucleotide ribosomal RNA is filed under the name uncultured bacterium. RNAcentral's name for it is "partial 16S ribosomal RNA". It matches the Rfam family "Bacterial small subunit ribosomal RNA", at positions 509 to 808 of the family's 1533-position model. The record is from RNAcentral.